GCCCUGUUAACAGUUAUUCCACUUGUAUUGGGUAGCAAUUUCUUCAUAUAAUACUUAGAAUUACGGGAUAGAUUGAUUUUCUUCCUCUUUUUCUCUGGGAUCAUAUCAAUUGAACUUUCUGAGAAGCCACGCCUCUUGAACCAGUCUGCUGUACGAGUUGUAAGCAGGAAGAGCAUUUCCAAAUUUAGGGAGGAGGCCUUCUUCUCAAUGAAAUCAAGCAAUUUGUCUCCCUGUCCUUGUCCACGGCAUUCAGGAGACACUGCAAUAGCAGCAACCUCUCCGCAUUUCUCCUCAAAGAAAGGGAAAAGAGC
RNAcentral lists this unclassified non-coding RNA (311 nucleotides) under Hevea brasiliensis (rubber tree). Lineage: Eukaryota; Viridiplantae; Streptophyta; Magnoliopsida; Malpighiales; Euphorbiaceae. The record is from RNAcentral.